CAGGCAACAUUUCGUUCUGUUACACAUGGGGAAAGGGACCGAGAAGAGGCUGUAUGUUGGUUGCCAAAGUCCUGGGUGAGCACCGGGUGAAGCCAUUUCAGAACUCUGCUGAGGUCAGAGAGCUGCAGGUUCUGCAUGUCUUCCUAACAGGAAUCCCCAAGAUGGGGGCUUUCAGCAGAGCCCCCCAACUAGUAAGUAUGAGUAUGCUAGCUUCCAGCCCACACUGAAGAGGUCCACUGCUAAGGAUUUGAGAUGAAAUCUGCUCAUUAUCUUUCCUUUAAGCUGUCUUUGAAAGCGCCAUUGUCUCUGAGCACAUAUUAGAUUCCUGUGACGCUCUCUGCUCUCCACAGCUGUUUUCUAUGAAACCAUCACAACUGCCUAGGCCUGGGGUACUUUACACAAGUGCUCUCAGUGAUUGUACUGUUGAUUGCUGAAGUGUCUUAUCUCCUUUAAAAUCUCUGCUAGUUGCGAUCUUAUUAGAGAUCAGCAAAGGGAAUUAAUUCUGUGAUAUCUACGAAGAUUAUUAUUUAUUAGGCUAUUUAUUUUAAAAUUUAUUUUGUUGCUGUUGAGAAUAUACACAGCAAAAUGUACACCAAUUCAACCAUUUCUACCUGUCCAAUUCAGUGACAUUGAGUACAUCCUUCAAGUUGUACAAGCAUUCUCACCCUCCUUUACUGAGUUGUUCCUCCUCCAUUAACAUAAAGUCAUUGCUCCCUAAGGUUCCUAUCUAUUCUUUCCAGCUGCUGUUGUAACUUUGAUCCCUUAUAGAUGGUUGUUAAAGGCAUAAUGAUCAAGGCAGACCUUUUUUACUACUUAAACUAACCUAUUGUUUCGUUUUAAGAAGAAUUCAGGGAAUAUUUUUGGUUUAAGGCUUAAAGAUUAUCCAAAAACCUCAUGGGAUUUGGUUUCCUGGUUUGGAGAUU
Molecule: long non-coding RNA, 923 nt
Organism: Trichechus manatus latirostris (Florida manatee)
Lineage: Eukaryota; Metazoa; Chordata; Mammalia; Sirenia; Trichechidae
Exons: 3
Source: RefSeq, a predicted model, not a curated record